CCUACGGGGGGCAGCAGUGGGGAAUAUUGGGCAAUGGGGGAAACCCUGACCCAGCAACGCCGCGUGAAGGAAGAAGGCUUUCGGGUUGUAAACUUCUUUUACCAGGGACGAAGAAAGUGACGGUACCUGGAGAAAAAGCUCCGGCUAACUACGUGCCAGCAGCCGCGGUAAUACGUAGGGAGCAAGCGUUGUCCGGAUUUACUGGGUGUAAAGGGCGUGUAGGCGGAGUUACAAGUCAGAUGUGAAAUCUGGGGGCUCAACCCCCAAACUGCAUUUGAAACUGUAGCCCUUGAGUAUCGGAGAGGCAGGCGGAAUUCCUAGUGUAGCGGUGAAAUGCGUAGAUAUUAGGAGGAACACCAGUGGCGAAGGCGGCCUGCUGGACGACAACUGACGCUGAUGCGCGAAAGCGUGGGGAGCAAACAGG
This 424-nucleotide ribosomal RNA is filed under the name uncultured Bacteroides sp. Its description in RNAcentral is "bacterial SSU rRNA". It matches the Rfam family "Bacterial small subunit ribosomal RNA", at positions 338 to 776 of the family's 1533-position model. Lineage: Bacteria; Pseudomonadati; Bacteroidota; Bacteroidia; Bacteroidales; Bacteroidaceae. The record is from RNAcentral.